This 430-nucleotide ribosomal RNA is filed under the name bacterium. Its description in RNAcentral is "partial 16S ribosomal RNA". It matches the Rfam family "Bacterial small subunit ribosomal RNA", at positions 355 to 776 of the family's 1533-position model. The record is from RNAcentral.
UGGGGAAUCUUGCGCAAUGGGCGAAAGCCUGACGCAGCAACGCCGCGUGGAGGAUGAAGGCCCUUGGGUUGUAAACUCCUGUCGGCUGGGAAGAAAUCGUUCGGGGCUAAUACCUCCGGACGUUGACUGUACCAGCAAAGGAAGCCCCGGCUAACUCUGUGCCAGCAGCCGCGGUAAUACAGAGGGGGCCAGCGUUAUUCGGAAUUAUUGGGCGUAAAGGGCGCGUAGGCGGCCAUGCGUGUCUCCCGUGAAAUCCCUCGGCUUAACUGAGGACGUGCGGGAGAAACUGCAAGGCUCGAGUCCGGGAGAGGGGGGUGGAAUUCCCAGUGUAGCGGUGAAAUGCGUAGAUAUUGGGAGGAACACCGGUGGCGAAGGCGGCCCCCUGGACCGGUACUGACGCUGAGGCGCGAAAGCGUGGGUAGCAAACGGG